RNAcentral lists this long non-coding RNA (3122 nucleotides) under Spirodela polyrhiza (greater duckweed). RNAcentral describes it as "long non-coding RNA (SPOL_LNC002511)". Lineage: Eukaryota; Viridiplantae; Streptophyta; Magnoliopsida; Alismatales; Araceae. The record is from RNAcentral.
AUCCUCAUGGAAACCUGUGACUAGCACCCAUAAAAAGGAAAUAAUUAAAAAUUUUGGAUAGUAAAAUGUGGUCUCGAAUGUAAAUACAAAGAAAGGUUGGAAAAGGUUCUGAACAUAACAUUAUUAAACCUAAUGCAGUGCAUGGAAAAUGGUCACCCAGAGGACUCACUGCGGAUAUUCAAAGAUACCAGAGACCAAUGCAACAGAAUAGAGGGAAUUGCAACCAGCGACUAAAAGAUUAGCAAGGAUGCAAAUCUUAUGGAUGUGCUCCUAGGUGCAAGUUCAUCAUCAAGGAACAAGGGACAAAGAAAUGAUACAAUGAAGUUCUACCUGAUGUCUUCGUGUCAUCCUAUUCCUGUGAUGCUUUCUUUGAUGCAUCUUUGCCCCUUCUGAAGUAGGUUCUACUGGAUCUCGAGUAGAUGAAGUAAAAUGCAAGCGAGAUCCUGAAGGCUUCUGCCGAACAUCAAUGGCCAGAAUUGACCCAUUUCUAAGCCCAGAUAAGACCACAUUUCCCUGCCACAUAUUGGAAAAAAAAAUAUAGCCGGCAUAUGAAAGUCUUAACAAUACUAACUGAAAAUACAAGCACAAUGAACAUUCGUGCAGAAGAUGGCUAGUAAUAAUAGGUUACGAUUUCAAAAAUGUAUCCUACUGCCAGAAAGUUAAUCAAGCUUGGUAAUCAAGACAUAUCCUGACUUAGGCUCGCCUAAAAGCAUAACCCAAAAAUCACCAGCAAAUACACGACGAGAAUAAAUAGAGAAGGUAAAGCUGAACCCUUACGAUCAAUCGCCAACCUAAUUUAUGAAUCUUGACCAACUUAUAAAUUGAAUUUUAGAAAAAAAAUCAAUUAUUAUUGUUAAAAUACUGUGCGUGUGGCUGAUGGGGAGUAUAUCACGUGCUUCACCCAUGAAAACACGUGAUAUAACAUGUUUUGUCUCAGUGUGUCUCACGAGUGUAAGGUUCUGUAUCCAGAACAUUCCCUAUAUAUCAGUUAUAAAUAACAGAUCCCUUGACGUGAUCUGUAAUGAUUGAGAGACCUGAUUUCCUCCCCUUGUGUUCAAAUAAAGUUCAAUUUUUCUCCCUUCCACAAGAAGGUUUCUUGUUCUGUGUCAAGACACAAAGGAUUUGGAGGAAUUGAAACAAUUAUGAAUGAAACAUAAAUACAGAAGGAUUGAAUAAAUCAAAUCACACACGUAACCUUAAUUGUUGAUGAGAGUUGAAAAUAAGAACACAAUUUUUUUUGUACAAAUUUACCCACUAGUAUCCAAUCCAACAAAUACUACAUGUAACGUCAUAACUUCACCAGCAGAGGAAAGUCUAGGGACAAGGAAGAAAUUUUUUGGCUAAUAUCAGAUAGAAAAGGACAGUUUAAGAUGACAGACCAAAAGCACACGAGGACACAGAAUAAUGGUGACCAGCAUUAAACUAGUUGAUAAAAGCUUUAAAUAUGAAUAAUAAAUAAUGGUGCUCAUGGAAAUCUACAAAAAGGAAUGAUACGCAGAAUACCGAUUGGUCAAAUUUUUGUGAGAAAAUAUCACUUUUAGUGCGGUAAAGCCAAGAUAAUCUUCCAGUUUCUAAACUUAACAGGGCUGCUCCUUGGUUUGUCCCUAGAAAAAAGGCACAAGAGCUUAAAGCUAUCAAUGAAAUUGGUAACAAGCUUUUCAAAACAAUAUUAAAGGAGAAAUAACACAUGAAGCCUACACGAACUAUUUAAUCACUUUCGACUCCAAGUUUUCAAAAACAAGAGAAAAGGGUUUAAAUUCAUUAAAGAUUGGUAUAGUAAAGCUAAAAAUGUUGAUUAACAAACAAGUACAUAUAAAGGUUGAACAUAAAAAUAGCUGUCACUUACAAAAGAGAAACAAGAAAAAACAUCUACGUUUCACGGAAUUCGAACCGCACUCAAUCUGAAUGUUAACAAGUGGGAAGACGUCUUUCCUAUUUUACCAAAUUUAAAAUGGACUAAGGAAGGAGCAUCUUAACAGGUUACUCGAGAUACAUACAGAUCAAAACGAAACACUAUCGAAAGUUUGAAAUCAUACUAUUCAUGGUCUCUUGCAGCAUACAGGCUUUAUUUGCUGGCACUAUCGUGGAGUAAGAUUGAAUAUGUUGGUAUCAUAGCUGAAAACAUCGGGAUAAUAUCGGAAAACGUGAGAACAUAGUUCAGAUGCUAAGGGUGUGUGCAAGUUGAAAUUAUACACAAAAACAUUAAUUCCAUUUUAUACUUAUUUUGCAUCCCAAUCGUAAUAAAACCACAAGUUCACCACGCAUUACAUUGGAAAAAAUUGAUUACAACUAAAACAUCGCAUGUCAUAUCAAAUAUGACAUUCCAUAACAUGUCACAUUACGGUCAGUGAUAAAAAAAGGCACGUUCAAAACAAAUUCAGAAUCUAAAGUAGAAAUACACCUCCUGCACAAGUUAGAGGCAGGUAAUAUAGACUCGUGCAACUGGAAAAAAUAUCUGAGAAGUGAGAACUUCAACGCCAAGUUUACUGUUAAAAGUAGAAGUUGUCCCGGAAAAAGUGAUCUACUUGCACAAAUACAGAUCUAACAUUGAUCUAGAGUUGUUGAUCGAUAGAUGGGCAGAGACUUCCUAAAACCAGAAACAGACCAACUGCUUAAAAACCAUCUUCUGACAAAACAAAAAUGCAUGUAAGUUAAUAUCGGAAUAAUCUCAGAAUAAUUCUACCAUAUUCUAAACCAAUAUUUCAAGAUUUAACAGAUUUGGAUUUGCCGAUCUACCAACAAGUCAGACAAAAAUUCGCACCAUUAGUGCUCAUAUGGUAAAAUCACUUAAGAAACCGCCCAGAGGGUAUACAGACACUCGUCAACCAGUCUCAAACUAGAAAUUAGCUAGUGGAAUAAAUUAAAAAAUCAUGGAUUAUAGAACACUAUUACGCCUAGUAUCAACAAAGGAUCUUUUUAACCUGUAUGGUAUGUGUUAGUAAUAUUACGUACAAAGUUUGAGCAUGUUCCAGUCCAGAAGGAUGACAACAGAUUUUAAAAUGACACUGUUAAAAAAAUAGGAAGAAAAUAACCGUUCAGCACUUAAACGCAAAACCACCAUAAUACCCAAGAUACAUACAGGGAAAUUAAUAGUCAAGACAAAAAGUUAUUCUGUUGCUUAC